Molecule: ribosomal RNA, 496 nt
Filed under: uncultured bacterium
Lineage: Bacteria
Description: partial 16S ribosomal RNA
Rfam family: Bacterial small subunit ribosomal RNA
Source: RNAcentral
GAUGAACGCUGGCGGCGUGCCUAAUACAUGCAAGUCGAGCGAACAGACGAGGAGCUUGCUCCUCUGACGUUAGCGGCGGACGGGUGAGUAACACGUGGAUAACCUACCUAUAAGACUGGGAUAACUUCGGGAAACCGGAGCUAAUACCGGAUAAUAUAUUGAACCGCAUGGUUCAAUAGUGAAAGAGGUUUUUCCGUUCCCUUAUGGUUGAUCCGCGCCGCAUUAGCUAGUUGGUAAGGUAACGGCUUACCAAGGCGACGAUGCGUAGCCGACCUGAGAGGGUGAUCGGCCACACUGGAACUGAGACACGGUCCAGACUCCUACGGGAGGCAGCAGUAGGGAAUCUUCCGCAAUGGGCGAAAGCCUGACGGAGCAACGCCGCGUGAGUGAUGAAGGUCUUCGGAUCGUAAAACUCUGUUAUUAGGGAAGAACAAAUGUGUAAGUAACUAUGCACGUCUUGACGGUACCUAAUCAGAAAGCCACGGCUAACUACGUG